This 386-nucleotide ribosomal RNA is filed under the name uncultured bacterium. Its description in RNAcentral is "bacterial SSU rRNA". It matches the Rfam family "Bacterial small subunit ribosomal RNA", at positions 30 to 417 of the family's 1533-position model. The record is from RNAcentral.
AUUGAACGCUGGCGGCAUGCUUUACACAUGCAAGUCGAACGGCAGCGCGGGGCAACCUGGCGGCGAGUGGCGAACGGGUGAGUAAUAUAUCGGAACGUACCCAGAAGUGGGGGAUAACGUAGCGAAAGUUACGCUAAUACCGCAUACGAUCUACGGAUGAAAGUGGGGGACCUUCGGGCCUCAUGCUUUUGGAGCGGCCGAUAUCUGAUUAGCUAGUUGGUGAGGUAAAGGCUCACCAAGGCGACGAUCAGUAGCUGGUCUGAGAGGACGACCAGCCACACUGGGACUGAGACACGGCCCAGACUCCUACGGGAGGCAGCAGUGGGGAAUUUUGGACAAUGGGGGGCAACCCUGAUCCAGCAAUGCCGCGUGAGUGAAGAAGGCCU